This 498-nucleotide ribosomal RNA is filed under the name uncultured bacterium. RNAcentral describes it as "partial 16S ribosomal RNA". It matches the Rfam family "Bacterial small subunit ribosomal RNA", at positions 28 to 523 of the family's 1533-position model. The record is from RNAcentral.
GUUGAACGCUGGCGGCAUGCCUUACACAUGCAAGUCGAACGGUAACGCGGGGCAACCUGGCGACGAGUGGCGAACGGGUGAGUAAUGCAUCGGAACGUGCCCAGUUGUGGGGGAUAACUGCUCGAAAGAGCAGCUAAUACCGCAUACGACCUGAGGGUGAAAGCGGGGGAUCGCAAGACCUCGCGCAAUCGGAGCGGCCGAUGUCGGAUUAGCUAGUUGGUGGGGUAAAGGCCCACCAAGGCGACGAUCCGUAGCUGGUCUGAGAGGACGACCAGCCACACUGGGACUGAGACACGGCCCAGACUCCUACGGGAGGCAGCAGUGGGGAAUUUUGGACAAUGGACGCAAGUCUGAUCCAGCCAUGCCGCGUGCGGGAAGAAGGCCUUCGGGUUGUAAACCGCUUUUGUCAGGGAAGAAACCUUCUGGGUUAAUACCUCGGGAGGAUGACGGUACCUGAAGAAUAAGCACCGGCUAACUACGUGCCAGCCGCCGCCGUAA